RNAcentral lists this ribosomal RNA (475 nucleotides) under uncultured crenarchaeote. RNAcentral's name for it is "bacterial SSU rRNA". It matches the Rfam family "Archaeal small subunit ribosomal RNA", at positions 43 to 493 of the family's 1478-position model. Lineage: Archaea; Thermoproteati; Thermoproteota. The record is from RNAcentral.
GAUAAGGCAUGCUAGUCGAGUGACUCAGGCAAAACGAGUCACGGCACACAGCUCAGUAACACGUGGCUAAUCUGCCCUUGAGACGAGAACAACCCCGGGAAACUGGGGCUAACUCUCGAUAAGCGAAGAACUCUGGAAUGAGUCUUCACCCAAAAAACUUCACGUUACCCUCGUGAAGUCGCUCAAGGAUGAGGCCGCGACCGAUCAGGUUGUUGGCGAGGUAACGGCUCACCAAGCCUUUUACCGGUGCGGGCCGUGGGAGCGGGAGCCCGGAGAUGGGUACUGAGACAAGGACCCAGGCCCUACGGGGCGCAGCAGUCGCGAAAACUUUGCAAUAAGCGCAAGCUUGACAGGGCUAUCCCGAGUGCCAUCCGCUGAGGAAGGCUUUUACCAGUCUAGAACGCUGGGAGAAUAAGGAGAGGGCAAGUCUGGUGUCAGCCGCCGCGGUAUACCAGCUCUCCGAGUGGUGUGGAUG